Long non-coding RNA from Rhododendron vialii, 731 nucleotides. RefSeq lists it as uncharacterized. The record is from RefSeq and is a predicted model, not a curated record. NCBI's taxonomy places the organism in Eukaryota, Viridiplantae, Streptophyta, Magnoliopsida, Ericales, Ericaceae. The transcript is spliced from 2 exons.
CAGCAAUGUAGAGACCCAUAAUUAUUUUCUCAAAUUUUAAAUGUUUAAUAUGUAUUUGGAUUAUCAAAGUGUGUAUAACAAUGUGGAUAUGAGUUGGGUCAAUGUGAGAUGACUUGUAAGUUGUGGGAGUUGACGUGAUACAAUAGGAGUGAAAGGGUGAAAGUGUUAUUUGUGCUAUAUAAGUCAAAAAAAAAAAAGGGGAGCAGGAGAUUAUUUUCUCUUUUCCUUUCCUUUCUUUUCUUCUUCUCCUGCGUCUCUCUCGGCUCUCACCUCUCUCACCUUCUCUCUUCGAUUUCAUCGACCACGAGUGAGACUUUUGAAAAAUCCCAAGUACUAAAGUUGUUCUACGCGAUGAGAGCUUCCUAUCCAUCGAAGAAAAUUCACGAUCGGAGCACUUCGAAGUUUCCUCCAUGUUCGGGCUUGCUUCUAACCCUCGAGGUACUCGCCAUGGCACUUAGCUUGGAUUGCAUGGAGUGCACAUUGAGACGUCUCUUGAGAGCUUCAUUGGAAUCAUUAAGGUGGUGUUUUAUCAUCUAGUCUAAUUCAAGUUGUGUACUUUACUCACAAUUGAAGGUCGUAUCUUUUGGUUAGAACAUAUGUAAAGCUAGGUAUAAACUCCUCUCUUUGAUUAUUGUGAAGGCCUUUUAAUGGAAUACGUUUGGGAGACUUUAUGUAAAAAAAAAAAAAAAAAAAAAAAUUUUAGAGAAGAAGAAGAAGAGACUUUGAUUCUU